This 462-nucleotide ribosomal RNA is filed under the name uncultured bacterium. RNAcentral's name for it is "partial 16S ribosomal RNA". It matches the Rfam family "Bacterial small subunit ribosomal RNA", at positions 28 to 507 of the family's 1533-position model. The record is from RNAcentral.
GAUGAACGCUGACAGAAUGCUUAACACAUGCAGGUCAUUGGCGAAGCUGCGCUUGCGCAGUCUAGCCAAGGCGGACGGGUGAGUAACGCGUAAGGAACUUGCCCUGCAGACAGGGAUAACAGACGGAAACGACUGAUAACACCUGGUAUUGUCAGGCUGGCGCAUGCCGGCCUGAUGAAAGGAGACGCUGCAGGAGAGCCUUGCGUCCUAUUAGCUAGUUGGUGGGGUAACGGCCCACCAAGGCGAUGAUAGGUAGCCGGCCUGAGAGGGUGAACGGCCACAAGGGGACUGAGAUACGGCCCUUACUCCUACGGGAGGCAGCAGUGGGGAAUAGUGGACAAUGGGGGCAACCCUGAUCCAGCAAUUCUGUGUGCACGAAGAAGGUUUUCGGAUUGUAAAGUGCUUUCAGCAGGGAAGAAGAAAGUGACGUUACCUGCAGAAGAAGCGACGGCUAAAUACGUG